RNAcentral lists this ribosomal RNA (253 nucleotides) under uncultured bacterium. RNAcentral describes it as "partial 16S ribosomal RNA". It matches the Rfam family "Bacterial small subunit ribosomal RNA", at positions 524 to 776 of the family's 1533-position model. The record is from RNAcentral.
UACGGAGGGUGCGAGCGUUGUCCGGAAUCACUGGGCGUAAAGGGCGCGUAGGCGGCAGGCCAAGCGUGCGGUGAAAGUCCGGGGCUCAACCCCGGAUCUGCCGUGCGGACUGGUUUGCUAGAGCACUGUAGAGGCGAGUGGAAUUCCGGGUGUAGCGGUGGAAUGCGUAGAGAUCCGGAGGAACACCAAUGGCGAAGGCAGCUCACUGGUCCGGUACUGACGCUGAGGUGCGAAAGCGUGGGGAGCAAACAGG